RNAcentral lists this ribosomal RNA (257 nucleotides) under uncultured bacterium. RNAcentral describes it as "partial 16S ribosomal RNA". It matches the Rfam family "Bacterial small subunit ribosomal RNA", at positions 524 to 777 of the family's 1533-position model. The record is from RNAcentral.
UACGAAGGGGGCUAGCGUUGCUCGGAAUCACUGGGCGUAAAGGGUGCGUAGGCGGGUCUUUAAGUCAGGGGUGAAAUCCUGGAGCUCAACUCCAGAACUGCCUUUGAUACUGAGGAUCUUGAGUUCGGGAGAGGUGAGUGGAACUGCGAGUGUAGAGGUGAAAAUUCGUAGAUAUUCGCAAGAACACCAGUGGCGAAGGCGGCUCACUGGCCCGAUACUGACGCUGAGGCACGAAAAGCGUGGGGGAGCAAACAGGG